CCCUACGGGGGGCAGCAGUGGGGGAUAUUGCACAAUGGGGGAAACCCUGAUGCAGCGACGCCGCGUGGGUGAGGAAGCGCCUCGGCGCGUAAAGCCCUGUCAGCAGGGAAGAAAAUGACGGCACCUGAAGAAGAAGCCCCGGCUAACUACGUGCCAGCAGCCGCGGUAAUACGUAGGGGGCAAGCGUUAUCCGGAUCUACUGGGUGUAAAGGGGGCGCAGACGGCGAUGCAAGCCAGGAGUGAAAGCCCGGGGCCCAACCCCGGGACUGCUCUUGGAACUGCGUGGCUAGAGUGCAGGUGGGGCG
Molecule: ribosomal RNA, 305 nt
Filed under: uncultured bacterium
Lineage: Bacteria
Description: bacterial SSU rRNA
Rfam family: Bacterial small subunit ribosomal RNA
Source: RNAcentral